GGGCCAGAUAUAGCCCAGCGGCUCCUUUGGCUGCUUGUAAUGGCAUUUCAUUCCCUGCCCCAGCACGGGUUUGAUCCCACGGGCACCCCUGGCCCACUC
This 99-nucleotide vault RNA is filed under the name Cairina moschata (Muscovy duck). Its description in RNAcentral is "domestica (muscovy Duck (domestic type)) Vault RNA (ENSCMMG00000007151.1)". It matches the Rfam family "Vault RNA". Rfam says of the family: This family of RNAs are found as part of the enigmatic vault ribonucleoprotein complex. The complex consists of a major vault protein (MVP), two minor vault proteins (VPARP and TEP1), and several small untranslated RNA molecules. Lineage: Eukaryota; Metazoa; Chordata; Aves; Anseriformes; Anatidae. The record is from RNAcentral.